AGACCCGAAACCCGGUGAUCUAGCCAUGGGCAGGUUGAAGGUUGGGUAACACUAACUGGAGGACCGAACCGACUAAUGUUGAAAAAUUAGCGGAUGACCUGUGGCUGGGGGUGAAAGGCCAAUCAAACCGGGAGAUAGCUGGUUCUCCCCGAAAGCUAUUUAGGUAGCGCCUCGUGAAUUCAUCUCCGGGGGUAGAGCACUGUUUCGGCUAGGGGGUCAUCCCGACUUACCAACCCGAUGCAAACUGCGAAUACCGGAGAAUGUUAUCACGGGAGACACACGGCGGGUGCUAACGUCCGUCGUGAAGAGGGAAACAACCCAGACCGCCAGCUAAGGUCCCAAAGUCAUGGUUAAGUGGGAAACGAUGUGGGAAGGCCCAGACAGCCAGGAUGUUGGCUUAGAAGCAGCCAUCAUUUAAAGAAAGCGUAAUAGCUCACUGGUCGAGUCGGCCUGCGCGGAAGAUGUAACGGGGCUAAACCAUGCACCGAAGCUGCGGCAGCGACACUGUGUGUUGUUGGGUAGGGGAGCGUUCUGUAAGCCUGUGAAGGUGGCCUGUGAGGGUUGCUGGAGGUAUCAGAAGUGCGAAUGCUGACAUAAGUAACGAUAAAGCGGGUGAAAAGCCCGCUCGCCGGAAGACCAAGGGUUCCUGUCCAACGUUAAUCGGGGCAGGGUGAGUCGACCCCUAAGGCGAGGCCGAAAGGCGUAGUCGAUGGGAAACGGGUUAAUAUUCCCGUACUUGGUGUUACUGCGAAGGGGGGACGGAGAAGGCUAUGUUGGCCGGGCGACGGUUGUCCCGGUUUAAGCGUGUAGGUGUGUGUUCCAGGUAAAUCCGGUUCACUUUAACACUGAGGCGUGACGACGAGGCACUACGGUGCUGAAGCAACAAAUGCCCUGCUUCCAGGAAAAGCCUCUAAGCAUCAGGUAACAUCAAAUCGUACCCCAAACCGACACAGGUGGUCAGGUAGAGAAUACCAAGGCGCUUGAGAGAACUCGGGUGAAGGAACUAGGCAAAAUGGUGCCGUAACUUCGGGAGAAGGCACGCUGACACGUAG
This 1052-nucleotide ribosomal RNA is filed under the name Salmonella enterica. RNAcentral describes it as "partial 23S ribosomal RNA". It matches the Rfam family "Bacterial large subunit ribosomal RNA", at positions 711 to 1761 of the family's 2925-position model. Lineage: Bacteria; Pseudomonadati; Pseudomonadota; Gammaproteobacteria; Enterobacterales; Enterobacteriaceae. The record is from RNAcentral.